CGAGCUGCUUCCGCGGCGAGA
This 21-nucleotide small nuclear RNA is filed under the name Arabidopsis thaliana (thale cress). Its description in RNAcentral is "snRNA_13714". The record is from RNAcentral. Lineage: Eukaryota; Viridiplantae; Streptophyta; Magnoliopsida; Brassicales; Brassicaceae.